GACGAACGCUGGCGGCGUGCUUAACACAUGCAAGUCGAACGGAAAAGCCCCGCCUUUGUUGGGGGCUCGGGUGGCGAACGGGAGGGGAAAACGAGAGUUAACUGCCCUGGACCUUGGGAUAAGUUCAGGGAACUAGGGUUUAGAUCGGAUGGGAUCUCCUGGUUCAGGGGGGGGGUUGGAAAGGUUCGGCGGUUGGGGAUGGGCUCGCGGCUUAUCAGCUUGUUGGUGGGGUAGUGGCUUACCAAGGCUUUGACGGGUAGCCGGCCUGAGAGGGUGACCGGCCACAUUGGGACUGAGAUACGGCCCAGACUCCUACGGGAGGCAGCAGUGGGGAAUAUUGCACAAUGGGCGGAAGCCUGAUGCAGCAACGCCGCGUGCGGGAUGACGGCCUUCGGGUUGUAAACCGCUUUCGCCUGUGACGAAGCGUGAGUGACGGUAAUGGGUAAAGAAGCACCGGCUAACUACGUG
This 468-nucleotide ribosomal RNA is filed under the name uncultured bacterium. RNAcentral's name for it is "partial 16S ribosomal RNA". It matches the Rfam family "Bacterial small subunit ribosomal RNA", at positions 28 to 507 of the family's 1533-position model. The record is from RNAcentral.